UUUUGAGAAAGGAACAUCUAUUGGUUGCCUCCUGCACACAAACCCCCCAACUGACUGAACCCGCAACCUGGUUAUGUGCCCUGACUGGGAAUCGAACCUGCGAACUUUCAGUGAAUAGGGUGACUCUCAGCCAACUGAGCUACAGUGGCCAGGGAUGGGAGCUCCACUCUUUAACUAAUUUCCCAUUAGUGGACAUCUAGUUUGUUUUUUUCCAAUUUUUGCAGUAUCACUUAAUACUGUGAUCAUUGUUACUUGCAAACAUCACAUCACACUUAAUUUCCUGAGGGCCCUUAAUGUUGAUUAACAGGUUUAGGAUAAAAAUAUUUAAAAUUUUGAUACCAACAGGUUUCUCCUCCCAACGGAUCAACAGUUUACAUUUCCAACAACGUACAGUCCCAUUUUUUAUUUUAUACUCAUUGAUAUUGCAUGUUGUCAAAUCCAUAAAAUUCUUGAACAAUUCAGAAAAGAUAUUUUAAGUAUAAUAAGGCUGUGUUUUCAAGUUUUUAAAAAUGACCCACAGGAAAUACACUGGACAUUCCAUGUAUCUCCAUACAUGUGAAUGCAUGUGUGAUAUUUAUAUACAUAUAUACACAUCAUAAUCAAUACCAAAGUUUCAAUUUUCUGACAUGCAAUGCAUUCCAAUAUAUUCUAAUUAUUUUAUUUUAAAAGGUGUACAUCUUGAGUCCCUAAGUUUAAGGUUCUUUCUGUUUUUGGAAAGCUACAAAGUGAACUCUUUAAUAAGCAUAAAAUGCACACUAUUAAAAAAAAAAGUCUUUCUUAAAACGAGCUUCUCUUUUAAUAUGUUUUGCUCAAGCAGUAAUGGAAUGGAAAGAUAAUUUCUAUUCUAUAUGAUAAAAAUUACAUCUGUCAUUUCUGUGUAAGAGAUACAAUACAUCAGGCAACU
This is a long non-coding RNA of Pipistrellus kuhlii (Kuhl's pipistrelle), 904 nucleotides long. RefSeq lists it as uncharacterized. NCBI's taxonomy places the organism in Eukaryota, Metazoa, Chordata, Mammalia, Chiroptera, Vespertilionidae. The record is from RefSeq and is a predicted model, not a curated record. The transcript is spliced from 2 exons.